AACCAGGAGGUUGGCUUAGAAGCAGCCAUCCUUUAAAGAAAGCGUAAUAGCUCACUGGUCAAGCGGCUCUGGGCCGACAAUGUAACGGGGCUCAAGCACAGUACCGAAGCCGUAGAUUCAGCGGCCCCUUCGGGGGCCGUGAGUGGUAGAGGAGCGUUCUCUGGGCAGUGAAGGCGGAUCGUGAGAACCGCUGGAGCGCAGAGAAGUGACCCUGCCGGCAUAAGUAGCGAUAAGAGUGGUGAGAAUCCACUCCGCCGAAAGCCUAAGGUUUCCUGAGGAAGGUUCGUCCGCUCAGGGUCAGUCGGGUCCUAACGCGAGGCCGAAAGGCGUAGCGGAUGGAUAUCCGGUCAACAUUCCGGAACUACCUGGAUGGCGUUAUCACGAUGGGGGGACGCAGGAGGUCAGCCCAGCCUACGACUGGAAGUGUAGGUUCAGGCAUGUAGGGGGAACCGUCAGGCAAAUCCGGCGGUUCACAUUCCCUGAGGUGCCAUGGCGAGGCCGCAAGGCCGUAAAGUGGGUCAUGCCACGCUGCCAAGAAAAGCCUCUAAGGAGUCAUCCGGGUACCCGUACCGCAAACCGACACAGGUAGGCAGGGAGAACAUCCCAAGGCGCGAGUGAGAACCCUCGUUUAGGAACUCGGCAAACUCGCCCCGUACCUUCGGAAGAAGGGGUGCUCCUUCUCGUGAUCCGGCUCGCCCGGUGAGCGAAGAGGAGUUGCAAUAAAGAGGCUCAGGCGACUGUUUACUAAAAACACAGGACUCUGCCAAGUCGAACAACGACGUAUAGGGUCUGACGCCUGCCCGGUGCUGGAAGGUUAAAGGGAGGGGUUAGUCGCAAGGCGAAGCUCUGAACUGAAGCCCCAGUAAACGGCGGCCGUAACUAUAACGGUCCUGAGGUAGCGAAAUUCCUUGUCGGGUAAGUUCCGACCUGCACGAAUGGCGCAACGAUCUGAGCGCUGUCUCAACGAGGGACACUGCGAAUUUGUGGUACCGGUGAAGACGCCGGUUGCCCGUGGCAAGACGGAAAGACCCCGUGCACCUUUACUACAACUUAGUAGUGAGUGCUGGCGUGUCAUGCGCAGGAUAGGUGGGAGACUUUGAACCGGGCCUUUUGGGGUCCGGGGAGUCGUCGGUGAGAUACCACCCUUGGCUCGUCGGUGUUCUAACCUCGGCCUGUCAUCCAGGUCAGGGACACUGCUAGGCGGGUAGUUUGACUGGGGCGGUCGCCUCCCAAAAUGUAACGGAGGCGCGCGAAGGUUCGCUCAGGCUGUUUGGAAAUCAGCCGGAGAGUGCAAAGGCAUAAGCGAGCUUGACUGCGAGACCUACAAGUCGAGCAGGUGGGAAACCAGGCCUUAGUGAUCCUGUGGCUCCGCAUGGAAGGGCCAUAGCUCAACGGAUAAAAGGUACGCCGGGGAUAACAGGCUUAUCUUGGCCAAGAGUUCACAUCGACGCCAAGGUUUGGCACCUCGAUGUCGGCUCAUCGCAUCCUGGAGCUGUAGCAGGUUCCAAGGGUUCGGCUGUUCGCCGAUUAAAGCGGUACGUGAGCUGGGUUUAGAACGUCGCGAGACAGUUCGGUCCCUAUCUGCCAUGGGCGUAGGAGAUUUGAGGGGGGCUGUCCUUAGUACGAGAGGACCGGGAUGGACGGACCUCUAGUGUACCAGUUGUCGCGCCAGCGGCAGUGCUGGGUAGCUACGUCCGGAAGGGAGAAACGCUGAAAGCAUCUAAGCGUGAAACCCUCCCCAAGAUGAGAUCUCCCUGGACCUUCGGGUCCCUGAAGGCUCCUGGAAGACCACCAGGUAAUAGGCCAGAUGUGUAAGGCCCGCGAGGGCUUGAGCUAACUGGUACUAAUCAGCCGUGAGGCUUGACCAU
Molecule: ribosomal RNA, 1868 nt
Filed under: Acidobacteriota bacterium
Lineage: Bacteria; Pseudomonadati; Acidobacteriota
Description: Acidobacteria bacterium partial 23S ribosomal RNA
Rfam family: Bacterial large subunit ribosomal RNA
Source: RNAcentral